CUGCAGCCAAUUAAGCCGACCGCUCUCCUCCUUGUGGUGGCCAGCAUGCAAUUGCUGCAAACAGCAAGCUUCCUAGGUAGUAUAUGCAGCCUGUUGGUGUGUACGGGCUGCCCUAAGGGACCUUGGAGACAACC
Small nucleolar RNA from Echinops telfairi (small Madagascar hedgehog), 134 nucleotides. RefSeq annotates it as small nucleolar RNA SNORA70. The transcript has a single exon. NCBI's taxonomy places the organism in Eukaryota, Metazoa, Chordata, Mammalia, Afrosoricida, Tenrecidae. The record is from RefSeq and is a predicted model, not a curated record.